This is a non-coding RNA of Ciona savignyi (Pacific transparent sea squirt), 192 nucleotides long. Lineage: Eukaryota; Metazoa; Chordata; Ascidiacea; Phlebobranchia; Cionidae. The record is from Rfam.
UACCUGGUUGAUCCUGCCAGUAGUCAUAUGCUUGUCUCAAAGAUUAAGCCAUGCAAGUCUAAGUACGAGCUCUCGUACAGUGAAACUGCGAAUGGCUCAUUAAAUCAGUUAUGGUUCAUUUGAUCGUACAGUUUACUUGGAUAACUGUGGUAAUUCUAGAGCUAAUACAUGCGAGAAGCGCCGACCUCGCGG